This 254-nucleotide ribosomal RNA is filed under the name uncultured bacterium. RNAcentral describes it as "partial 16S ribosomal RNA". It matches the Rfam family "Bacterial small subunit ribosomal RNA", at positions 524 to 776 of the family's 1533-position model. The record is from RNAcentral.
UACAGAGGUCCCAAGCGUUGUUCGGAUUCACUGGGCGUAAAGGGUGCGUAGGUGGUCGGGUAAGUCCGAUGUGAAAUCUCCAGGCUCAACCUGGAAAUGGCAUUGGAUACUAUUCGGCUUGAGGAGUGGAGGGGGGGACUGGAAUUCUCGGUGUAGCAGUGAAAUGCGUAGAUAUCGAGAGGAACACCAGUGGCGAAGGCGAGUCCCUGGACACUUCCUGACACUGAGGCACGAAAGCUAGGGGAGCAAACAGG